GCCCGGAUAGCUCAAUUGGCAGAGCACCUGUCUUGUAAACAGGUGGUUCGGGGUUCGAGUCCCUGUCUGGGCC
This 73-nucleotide transfer RNA is filed under the name Phycisphaerae bacterium. Its description in RNAcentral is "tRNA-Thr". It matches the Rfam family "tRNA". From Rfam's summary of the family: Transfer RNA (tRNA) molecules are approximately 80 nucleotides in length. Their secondary structure includes four short double-helical elements and three loops (D, anti-codon, and T loops). The record is from RNAcentral. Lineage: Bacteria; Pseudomonadati; Planctomycetota; Phycisphaerae.